GCACGACCGUACCGCAAACCGACACUGGUGCGCGAGAUGAGUAUUCUAAGGCGCUUGAGAGAACUCAGGAGAAGGAACUCGGCAAAUUGACACCGUAACUUCGGAAGAAGGUGUGCCUUUAGUAGGUGAACCAUUUACUUGGGGAGCCCAGUGAGGCUGCAAAAAAUCGGUGGCUGCAACUGUUUAUUAAAAACACAGCACUCUGCUAAGACGAAAGUCGACGUAUAGGGUGUGACGCCUGCCCGGUGCUGGAAGAUUAAAUGAUGGGGUGCAAGCUCUUGAUUGAAGUCCCAGUAAACGGCGGCCGUAACGAUAACGGUCCUAAGGUAGCGAAAUUCCUUGUCGGGUAAGUUCCGACCUGCACGAAUGGCGUAAUGAUGGCCACACUGUCUCCUCCUGAGACUCAGCGAAGUUGAAAUGUUUGUGAUGAUGCAAUCUCCCCGCGGAAAGACGGAAAGACCCCAUGAACCUUUACUGUAGCUUUGUAUUGGACUUUGAACAGAUCUGUGUAGGAUAGGUGGGAGGCUUUGAAGUGUGGUCGCUAGAUCGCAUGGAGCCAACGUUGAAAUACCACCCUGGUGUGUUUGAGGUUCUAACCUAGGUCCAUUAUCUGGAUCGGGGACAGUGCAUGGUAGGCAGUUUGACUGGGGCGGUCUCCUCCCAAAGUGUAACGGAGGAGUUCGAAGGUACGCUAGGUACGGUCGGACAUCGUGCUAAUAGUGCAAUGGCAUAAGCGUGCUUAACUGCGAGACUGACAAGUCGAGCAGAUGCGAAAGCAGGACAUAGUGAUCCGGUGGUUCUGUAUGGAAGGGCCAUCGCUCAACGGAUAAAAGGUACUCUGGGGAUAACAGGCUGAUACCGCCCAAGAGUUCAUAUCGACGGCGGUGUUUGGCACCUCGAUGUCGGCUCAUCUCAUCCUGGGGCUGUAGCCGGUCCCAAGGGUAUGGCUGUUCGCCAUUUAAAGAGGUACGUGAGCUGGGUUUAAAACGUCGUGAGACAGUUUGGUCCCUAUCUUCCGUGGGCGCUGCAGAUUUGAGGAAGCCUGCUCCUAGUACGAGAGGACCGGAGUGGACGAACCUCUGGUGUAUCGGUUGUCACGCCAGUGGCAUUGCCGAGUAGCUAAGUUCGGAAGAGAUAACCGCUGAAAGCAUCUAAGCGGGAAACUCGUUUCAAGAUUAGAUCUGCCGGGGCCUUGAGCCCCCUAAAGAGUCGUUCAAGACCAGGACGUUGAUAGGUCAGGUGUGGAAGCGAAAAAAAA
This 1258-nucleotide ribosomal RNA is filed under the name metagenome. RNAcentral describes it as "bacterial LSU rRNA". It matches the Rfam family "Bacterial large subunit ribosomal RNA", at positions 1636 to 2883 of the family's 2925-position model. The record is from RNAcentral.